CCCAAGUUCCCUCUCCUCUGAUUCGGGCCACGAUUUCGACACCUCCGAGUCCACUUGAAUGAAGCGUACUGCUUUUACAGAAAGGAGGGUAAUUAUGCUACGAUAUAUGAUGAGAAAAAGGAAACGCUUUAUGAAUAGACUUCUUAGAUAACGCUUCAAUGAGCCAAGAACAUCAUCUGUCUCAAAGUAUUAGAUUCCUUCUCAUGUUGAAAUAUGACAACAAGCAAUAUCUGAAAGAAGUUGGUCUAGUAUAACACUUCCAAGCGUACCAAACAUUGGUUGUGACGACGUGACCCUGUUCCUCACACCUCAAGACGAUUUCUGCAAACACGCAAGAUCAUGUUCUGUUAACGUUGGACCAGACUCCAAGUGAUACAUUAUUAGCUAUUAUCACCAGAUCAUACCAUCAUUGGGUACCUGUAUUUGCAGAGAUUUUAUUGCCAGGGCAUUGACAAAAGGUGCGGGAUGCUAUCAGGUUCAAUAUUCCUUCUAACCUUCUUCGGGAACAUACAAGGACCUGACUCGGAACAGAGAGCUUACUAAAGCUAUGUUCACUAAUUGUGGUAUAAAUGGAUUACAUUCCAGCAUGUUUCAUAAUAAAGUACCUAAAUGAAAAGUCAACAAAAGCUCGAUAAUUUAGAAGCUUGUGCUGAAACAAUUUUCAAGAAAAUUUGUUUUUGUUUUUGGAGAGAACAAGGAAAACUUCACAGAUCUUGGCACUUUACAGAACACUUCUACAGAAUU
Long non-coding RNA from Stegodyphus dumicola, 744 nucleotides. The record is from RefSeq and is a predicted model, not a curated record. Lineage: Eukaryota; Metazoa; Arthropoda; Arachnida; Araneae; Eresidae.